Molecule: non-coding RNA, 413 nt
Organism: Paramuricea clavata
Lineage: Eukaryota; Metazoa; Cnidaria; Anthozoa; Malacalcyonacea; Plexauridae
Source: the annotation of a GenBank genome assembly
UUCACUCGUUAGCACGAUGUAUUUCGGCUGGUCAACGAUGAUCUGCACUGCGGUGCAUCUAAAACAGAGUAUAAAACUAGUAAUCUACCAGAGCAAGCUUAUAUUCGGAGGUUUACGGUUCUAUAUAGUUUACCGACUGCGAUUAGUUAAUUAAAGAUGAUUAGUCAAAACCCUAAAAAUCUACUCAGAAACCUCUGUCUACGUUUUGCAAAGAGAGGUGAAAGCAAUAAGGCCGUGCCUGUGCAUGCAAUUCCAUUGGCAUUGGUCGGAGAAUUCAUGCGAGUACUUUUCUGUUGACAGCUAAAGAUUUUGAUGUAUAUUCAUGCGAGAAGCCUCAAUCGAAGGUAAGAGUAAUGACUAAUGUGGCUUAUGAGAAGAUGGUUCCCGUUGUGGCUCAACUAUUCCAAGUUUAU